RNAcentral lists this long non-coding RNA (3823 nucleotides) under Cricetulus griseus (Chinese hamster). Its description in RNAcentral is "lncRNA (ENSCGRG00015040918.1)". The record is from RNAcentral. Lineage: Eukaryota; Metazoa; Chordata; Mammalia; Rodentia; Cricetidae.
GAUUCUGGGAAAUGUAGUAGAGAAGUAGUGUUCCAGACAGGAAGUGACAUAGCAAGGAGACUCAUAUUUAAGAAGAGGAAAAAGGAAGUGUUGCUCUCUUUCCCCUCGGCUCCUGCUCCAGCGGCAAGAUGUGAUCCACCAGCUAGGAGGGACGCCAAUAAGGCGUCCGAUAAGAUAAGUCUUAUAAAAUAUAUAGAUUUAUGAUGAUUGAUACUGAGCUAACAGAUAAAAAUCCUAGUCAUUGGCCAAGCAACAUUGUAACUAAUACAAGUCUCUCUGUGUAUUCAUUUGGGCCUAACUUGGGCAGGCGGCUGCCAUAAAGCUUACACGUGGCGGUGGGGCUCAGCGGCUUUUGGCAGAAAGAUUUAUCAUAACAGUACAGUUUCUGGUAAAAGCCAGAAACUGGAAGCAGCCUAGAUGCCCCUCUACCAAAGAAUGGAUAGAGAAAAUGUGGUACAUUUACACAAUGUACUACAUAGCAGAAAAAAAAAUUGAAUCUUGAAAUUUGCAGGAAAAUGGAUGGAACUCGAAGAAACCAUUCUGAGCAAGGUAACCCAAUCACAAAAAGACAAACAUGAUAUGUACUCACUCAUAUGUGAAUUUUAGACAUAGAGUAAUGAUUACCAGCCUACAAUCCACACUGCCAGAGAAACUAGUAAACAAGGAGGACCCUAAAAGAGACAAACAUUGUCCCCUGGAGAAGGGUAAAGGGUCACCAUCCCCUGAGCAAAUUGAGAGCACGGGAAGAGUGGGGAGGAAGCUACAAGAAUGAGAAGGGGAGCAGAGAGGGGUGCAGAGGUCAUGAGGGAGCAGAAAGGUUGAGUCAGGUAAAGAAUAGAAGAAAGGAUAUGUGAUAGGUAGGGUUUUAGUUGGGGAGGUGGUAGGGGAGGAAGGGAGGGAGAAGGGAACUGGGAUUGUCAUGUAAAUCAAUCUUGUUUCUAAUUCAAAUAAAAAAGAUAAAAAAAAAUCAUAAAAAGAAAAAAUAAAGUACAUAGGAAUAUGAAAAAAAGUAGUGUACAGAAAUAGACAAUUCUCAACAGAGGAAUCUAAAAUGGCUAAAAGGCACAUAAGAAAGUGUUCAACAUCCUUAGCUAUCAGAGAAAUGCAAAUCAGAACAACUCUGAGAUACAAUCUUACCCCUGUCAGAAUGGCCAAAAUAAAAAACACCAAUGACAGUUUAUGCUGGAGAAGAUAUGGAGAAAGGGAAACAACACUUCUCUACUGCUGUUGGGAGUGCCAUCUUGUACAGCCACUUUGAAAAUCAGUAUGGCGACUCCUCAGGAAAAUGCAAAUCAGUCUACCACAAGAUCCAGGAAUCCCACUCUUAGGCAUAUACCCAAAAGAAACACAUUCAUACAACAAGGACAUCUGUUCAAUGAUGUUCAUAGCAGCAUUAUUUGUAAUACCCAGAACCUGGAAGCAACCUAGAUGCCCCUCAUCUGAAGAAUGGAUAGAGAAAAUGUGGUACAUUUACAAAAUGGAGUACUACUCAGGCAGGGGGGGCGGAACAAUGGAAUAUUGAAAUUUGCAGGAAAAUGGAUGGAACUAUAAGAAAACAUUCUGAGCAAGGUAACCCAAUCAUAAAAAGACAAACAUGGUAUGUUCUCACUCAUAUUUUAGACAUAGAGUAAAGGAUUACCAGCCUACAAUCCACACUGCCAGAGAAGCUAGUAAACAAGGAGGACCCUAAGAGAGACAUACAAGGCCCCCUGGAGAAGGGCAAAGGGACAAGAUCUCCUGAGCAAAUUGGGAGCAAGGGAAGAGGGGGGAGGGAGCUAGGAGAAUGAGAAGGGGAGAAGAGGAGGGAUGAGGAGGACAUGAGGGAGCAGAAAGGUUGAGUCAGGGGAAGAAUAGAAGAAAACAAGAAAUGAGAUACCAUAACAGAGGGAGUCAUUUUAGGUUUACAGAGAAAUCAAGCACUAGGGAUAGGUCUGGAGAUCUACCAAGAUAGCACCAACUAACAAUCUAAGCAACAGAGGAGAGGCUAUGUUAAAUGCCUUCCCCUGUUAAUGAGAUUAAUGACUGUGUUAUAUGCCAUCCUUUAGCUUUCAUCAAGCAGCUUGUAGAAGUAGAAGCAGACACCCACAGCUAAUCACUGAACUGAAUCCAGAUGCAGAGAAGGAUGAGUGAAGAGCAAAGGGGUCCAGACCAGGCUGGUGAAACCCACAGAAACUGCUGACCUGAACAAUGGGGGUCUCUUGUUCCCCACACUGAUAGCUGGGAUACCAAUAUAGGACUGAUCCAGACCCCAGGAAAAUGGGUUUCAAUGAGGAGACCUAGGAAAUCUAUGGGACCUCCUGUACUUAUCCCUAGCAUAGCUGUGGACUUUGGGAGCCCAAUCCACAUAGAGGGAUACUCCUUGAGCCAAGACACACAGGGGUGGGCCUAGGCCCUAUCCCAAAGGAUACAAUAGACUCUGAUGACCCCCUACGGAAGGCCUCACCUUCCUGGGGAGCAGAAAGGAUUUGUGAUAGCUAGGAUUUAGUUGGGGGAGGGAAGGUAGGGGGAGCUGAGGGAGUGGGAACUGGGAUUGACAUGUAAAACAAACUUGUUUAUAAUUCAAAUAAAAGAUGGAGAAAAACAAAGAUUGUCACUAAGACACAUUAUUGGGCAGACAAUGGCUAUUUAGGGAAUUAAAUGUUGCUAGAGAUAAGGUAAUUAGCCCCUGGAAAUGAAACACUCUGACCUCUCUAUAAAAGGUAAGUUCCAUUCAGUCAAUCAGUCUCUGUAGACACAGCUUUCCCUAGGAAUUCUCUUUACAUUCUCAGCUCCAUUACUUGAUUUUUUUAAUGUGGAUAUUUUUGCAGGUGAUACAAAAGGAUACAUUACCAUUAAGCCCCAAAUGGUUUCUUAAGAGUGUCUUUUGUUUGUGUAAGGAGAAUCUUCGUUCUUGGUUUUAUUCUCACAGCUACCUUAUUACUCCAGCAUAAUCUGAAGGCUGAGAGCUCACAUCUUGAACUUCAGGCAUGAAGCAGAAAGAGUACAAACUGGAAAUGACAUGAGCAUUUUACUCUCAAAGUCAACCCCUGGUGACUUGCUUCCUCCAGCAAGAUCGCACAUCUUAUACCUACCCAAACAUUGCCAACAGAGGAACCUAUGAAUGGUAGUCAUUUAAACCACCACAGUGACUAACACAAACAAUUUCAUAGGCUGCACUGGCAAAAUGACAUAUCUACAAAGCACAUCAAAGUGUUGCAUCUAAACUUCUGGUAAGAUUAACUCAAACCUGAUGAUCCAGGGAAAAGUAAGAGAUGGAAAAAAUGAAAAGCCAAAUAAUGGAUUCUACAGUAAUCACUUAUAUACUAAUUCCUGCAUACCUGGUGAAAACUGAUGUAUCUGUUCUCCUGGAAAACACCCAGACAGGAGAACCUUCAAUCAGGUAUUCAGUACUUGUUUAAUAUUGAUGGAAGCAGAGGCAGACACCCACAGAUAUACACUGAACAGAACUCUGGAAACCAGUUGCAGAGAGGGAGGAAUGAAGAUCAAAGGGGACAGUACCAGGUUGGUGAAACCCACAGAAACAGCUGGCCUGAACAAGGGGGAGCACAUGGACCCCUGACUGCUUUCUGGGAGGCCAGCACAGGACUGAUCCAGACCCCUGAAAAUGGAUGUCAAUGAGGAGGCCUCCAAACUCUAGGGAGACCCUGGUAGUGGAUUAGUAUUUUUCCCUGGUGUAAGAAGGGACUUUGAGAGCCCAUCCCACUUGAAGGGAUGCAGUCUUGCCCUGGACACUUAGGGGAGGGCUUAGGCCCAGCCCAGAAUGAUGUGGUGGACUUUGGGGACCCCCUAUGAGGGCCCUACCCUGCCUGGGGAGUGGUAGGGG